UUUCACUUAUCUUUAAUAAAAAAAAAAAAAAUUCGGAUACAAAAAUACACAUUGCCGAAUAUCAGGCAAGAUCGGGAAAACUAUACUGAUUCGUAUAUGGGCGUCGUAUCUAUAUUUUUACACUUUAUGACAAAAAAAAAGGGUCUUCUGGAUCACAGUGCUAAUGGCAUCAUGCCUAAUGGUCUUGCUUACUUGCCAAUUAACAUUUCCAAUGGACUUGCUUUAGUAACUCGAUUUAUUGUACAGUUUAAAGUAAACUGAACAUCUUUUAACGCAUCUUGCCAAAAUCGUUUACUUGUCUCUACAGCCGUCAACAUUGCCUUCAUAGUAGUCAUAGUGCCCAUUCGACUGACUAGCACCAGUUGCUAUCAAAUGAUAUUCAAUUUUCUGUGCUGAGAAAACCGACGGAAAUCGUUACUUGUAAAACUCCGGCCCCGAUCAGCGAUUAUACGAUUUGGUACCCCGAAUAAGGAUAUGGCUGACUUUACUGCCCCAAUGCAACCUUCUGUAUCUAAAUUUAAAGAGUUAUAGAGAUAAACAAACUUAGUGAAUGCAUCGAUCUGCACUAUAACGUAUUCAUUUAGGUCAUUCUCUCCACUUAAUUUGUGUUUUGUCUAUGGCAGGUUUUUAUAAUUUGCAUGUGAUUCAAUUUUCUACAUACUUUCACACAUACUUCGACAUAUUCUGAAACCAAUACUGAGUGUACACUUUAUCUAAAGUCUUCUCCCAGCCCAAAUGCAUUAUAGCUUCGUGUACGUGAUUAAUGACACCAUCUGAAAGCCCCAGGUAUCAGAGCACCUGAAUAUUUAUGGACCAUAUGGAUUUAUGUGGAAUUGUAUUGUUGACCAUUUUCCGCAGUAUUCUUGACUAUUUCUGUUGCUCCGAAGGUUGUCAUUUCAAAACAUGAAUUCAAUUUGAAAAUGGACUUCCGAAAGAUGUUUAAAUCUGGAUCCGUGAUGAUGAGCCGAUGAGUUCAAUGGUUCCGGUGGUGUCUGAGUUUGAGGUUUACACUUUUCCUGGUGCGCAACAUAUGCCAUUUGACUCAUGUCUAUAUUUGACAAUGGGAACAUUUUUGUGUCCACCAAUCAACACUUUCUGAUGUGCGGAAUAUUCAAUAUCUGGCCCGAAUGCGAAUACGAGACGAGGGAACGAAGCGGAUGUAAAUGCUCUAUGUACUUGUCGUUUUCUGUCAAUUUCUCUGAUAUUGUUAUUUAUAUAGUGGCGCCCAAGUCUCCGUUCCAAUUGUCUGUGUUCAUUUUGUACAU
Drosophila obscura is the source of this 1265-nucleotide long non-coding RNA. RefSeq lists it as uncharacterized. Lineage: Eukaryota; Metazoa; Arthropoda; Insecta; Diptera; Drosophilidae. The record is from RefSeq and is a predicted model, not a curated record. The transcript is spliced from 3 exons.